UCACAUUUAAAUUAGGGUUAAUGACACAAAGUGAUAAAUGUGAAAACACUUGAGUGUUUUAGAUAUUUUAGAGUUGUCUAAGCUCUUCCAACCUCCCCAAAUCCGACCCCCUCUCUCUCAAAAUCACUCUCAUCUUAUUUGAAAACUCUCUCUCAAGUUUUCUCUCCAUCUUCAACCUCAAGAACACUAAGAAGGCUUGGAAGCUAAGCCUUGGUCUAGAAAGGGUUUAUCUAAGGGAUUUUGAAAGGUUUUGAAGGAGCCAAAGCUAAUAGGAAGAUUCAAAACUUAAGCAAGAACAACAAGAGGUAAGAGCAAGGGCAAGGAAGAGCAGUGAGCGCUGGAGUCUACCUUGCAAAUGUACAUGUGGACCGACCUUUUGGGAAGCCAUUUUAUUUUUGGAAAUGUUGUGUAAUUUUCCUAAACUAGGCUCACUCUACUCGUUAUAAAAUAUGUUUGUAAAUAAAUGUUAAGUAUGACCAUACGAUUUUUUUAAAAGUUUUUUUAUACGGGUUUUUGAGACAUUUUGUUAAAUGAAAACAUUUAUAUUUCCACA
Humulus lupulus (European hop) is the source of this 553-nucleotide long non-coding RNA. RefSeq lists it as uncharacterized. The record is from RefSeq and is a predicted model, not a curated record. Lineage: Eukaryota; Viridiplantae; Streptophyta; Magnoliopsida; Rosales; Cannabaceae. The transcript is spliced from 3 exons.